AUGAUUGUGAGGAAACAUUUUCACUAAGUAGAUUUUAGCUAGAUAGCAAUUGUAAUAUUUGCAUUCUCAAAGUCGUUAGUGGAGCAUGUGUGGUUUACCGGCACACUAACCUGGACUUGUGAGAAGUGGCAAAAAGGUCUAACCAUUAUGAUUACGGCAUACCUCUUCAUAAUUGUUUAGACACACAAGUGUGCUAUCUAAGGGAAGGUGUAUGAUUUUGAUAAAGUUUUAUCAAAACAAUCUAGUAUCAGAAAUCUGAACUUUGGUAAGAAAGUCAAUGAAGUAUUGAUUUCUAGAAGUCCAGCUGAUUUCUGAGUACAUGUCAAAGCUAGUGGGAGCAUAAGUGUUAUGCUAAUAAUCAUCAUGUUAGUGGGAGCAUGAUAAUUAUGAUAAGUAUUGCAAGUUAGCAAUGUUAAUUAUAGAAAACAAAAGUUUCAAUUGGGAAAGAGUUGUUUUGCUAUAAUUAAGGGAGAGGAAAUUAUACUUCAUCUCAAAUCUAUAAGCUUAGAUCGUGAGGUUUUAAUCAUUUAGUCAAAUAUAUAUAUGAAUUUCAUGUUGGAAUGGCUCAACAUAAGGAAAUUCUGUAUAUGGAUCCAUUAUUUGCGUUCUAAAAUUCGAUUAUGAUUACGACAUCCCUUUUCAUAAUCUAAAUUAUGAGAACAUGGCAAAUAGAAAUGGAAGUGUUAUAUAAAAUGACUGGUUUAGUCUUUACGUGAGACAUCAUGACUCGUGUCCCAUAUGCUUUGGAUAUAAGAUCGAUUACAUGUGCUAUAUUCAUCCUUUCUAAAAUUUUCCAAAUGCCUGGGGCAUUAAGUAGGGAAAAGGUUUAGAACUGGAUAUGACUAAAAGGAUUAAACAAUUGUCUAGGACAAUCUAAGGUUUAGCAAAGAUUGGUUGCUCAAGGACACCUGGAAGUAUAGUGUUAAUUCUGGAAGGACCAUAUUGACAUAAUCUGUAAGGAGGCAACUCCUGUACAGAAGUGAUAGUCAAAAUGGAAUAUGGAAAUGCUUCAAAGUUAGAAAGUAUUCAAUCUGUAAGAUUAGAAGGAUGUUUCCAAGGAGUUUAUCUCUUUUGGAAUACUUUGCAAUGAUUGUUGCCAAGUCUUUGUGAAUUUGUGCAUAAUCAUUACAAGAGGAUCAAUGCAUAUAAGUUUAGAAUCUAACAUAUUUAUGUAAAUGCCAUGAAUUUGGAAUUCUUGCAUUUGCGGUAAGGAUUUGGGACUGUGAAAUGAGAAUCAUUGGAGUGAUGUCCAAUCGAUCGUGUUCACAAAGUAAGGAUCAUAGACAAACAUAGAGUGCUUACUUGGUGUAUGGCAAAGCUAUUGUUUAAGAAAAACAUAGUGUACAUGCUUGGAGCAUGGGACAACUAGUGUUUUUAAUUCAAGUAUAAAGUUGAUAAAACCGAAACAAUGAAUAAUGAGUAAUCAGUAUGGUGAUAAAUAAAAGUGUUUAUUUAUAUUCAUAGGGUUUGAUACCAUAUUAGAUUCAUUUAUUCUUGUGUUUCACUUUGCAUGUUUUGACUUCCAGAAUAACUAGGUUACUCUUUCGGAAUGACUAAGUUAUUCAAACAAUCCACAGUUGGUCAUAUGUUGGAAGUAGAUAUGAAUCAAGACUGUCAUGGGUUGGCUUGUAGAGGUCCAAGUUGGUGGACAAAGUUGUGCUACAACACUCAUGAGUGCUCAUAAGUUCUGAGUAUUGGAUUCAACCCGCGCUCAUUGGAAUCACUUCAUGGAUUUUAUCACGAGUGAUCAUGAGACGAUAAUAUCUUAUAUUCUUCAAACCUAGAGAUAUGAGUUGUUACUAUGAGUUGAUAGUACAUUGAUUGCACGAAAACGCAUUUGUAACCUCGGUGCUAUAAAACGUGCCUUUGUGUAUGAUUCAACAAGUAGUAGAACAAUCCAUAUGAGUCGAAGUUUAUCCAUUCCUUUUACCUUCGGGAUAAAAGCGAUAUUUGUGGGCCCCUCGAUGAUUUAAUGAUGACACAUCUGAGUGCUUGGCCAAGCCAGGACUGAUUUGAUUUGUUCAAUCAGUCAGUCGUCAUGAAUCGGAAAUCGGGAAACAACAAAUGGACAGAGAGAAUAAUUAUAAUCCAUGUCUCACUGUAUAUGAUAUCUAGAAUGGAGGAAUAUAUGAUCCAUUAUCUAAUGGAAAAGUUCGUUGACAAGAUCAGAGUUCGACAGCGACUUUAAGAGCUACGAGUGCCAGAUGCGUUUUGAAGUCAUACUCAAUAAGGUUUUAGACUUAUCCAAGUGGGAGACUGUUGGAUUAAUGUCUAAGUCCAUAACUAUAUUUGGUAUGUACUUGACCCGACCCGGCAUGGUCCAUUUGGGUUGCACUUCACCGACACAAUUUAUAUGGAUAAUCUUUUGAGAAUAGUAUGUUUAUGAUUAAUAUUAAUAUAUUAUAAGUUCUAAUAUAUUAAUAUGGAAUCAUAUUAUUUAAUUAGUAUUGAUCAAGAAUUAAUUUAUAAUUAAUUAAGUGAUCAAAAGGAACUAAUUAAAUAUGGACUCUUAUAUAUAUGGAAUGGGCCAAGUUCAUUUAGGUUGGGCUAAGCUUUCAUGGAUAGUCCAUGGAGUGUUUAACCCAUGGAUCCUAGGAAAUGAAAGGUCAUGGGUAUUAGGGUUUAACCCUAAUCCUCCAUACUAUAUAAAGAUGUCUUUGGUUGGUGAAAUUGGCACUAGUGUGGAUACACUAAAGAAGGGCUAGCCAAUUUCACUAGAGAGAACCAAGUAAUCAUAUUCUCUAAAGUAUUCCAAGGUGUCUUGGUGAUUUGUGAUUCCACUUGAGGCUUCCACACUAUUGGGGCUAAGCUCUUAAAGCUUGAAGACAUCAAGCUACAUCAAGAGGUAUGUAUUCUAUCUUGUUACAUUCAUAGUUUUUGUAUGCUAGAUUAGGAUAAUACCUUGGAUGUUCUUAUUUGCAUGUAUAAUAGAGAAAACAUAGAUCCAAGGUAUUUAGGGUUGCAUGUACACUUAGGAAGUGUUAGAAUGCUCAAAACCCAACAGUGGUAUCAGAGCCACGGGUUGUUUUCUGUUAUAUUGAUGCAAAUAUUUUAUUUUCAAAGUUGAAAAAAAAAAAAAAAAAAAACAUGAAGUUUGUCAAAUUUUAAGAUAAUUACUUGUUCUUGUGAAAAACUAAUUAUUUGUAAAAUUUGAAUAAUUUGCUUUAUGAGUUGAAUUAGGUCAAAUUUAAUAAAAGAUAAAAUAAUAUGAUUAUUUUAUUAGUUUUAAAAGUUUGAUCUAAAGAGUUUUAUUUUUUGAAACCUCCAUAAGUUAUGGAUAUGAAAAGGUUUUAAAAAAAAAAUUGAUUCAAAGUUUUUUUGGAGUUACAAAAUUUGGUGUUAAUGUUUUAAAGGAUUCCAUAACUUAAGAAUAAGUUAUGGAUCACCAAAAGUUUUUUGUGUUACCUUGUUUUAUGAGUGAAUUUAGAUUAAUGAAUAAAAUUAUGUGAUAGUUGGUUUUAAUCCAAAUUAAUCUAAGAAUUGAUUCUAAAAUGUGUUUUUGUAACUUGUCCUCAAGUUAUAUGAAAAGUCACAUUUAAGAAUCAUAAAACUCAUAAAAGUUGGCAAAGGUUACAAAAAUGAAGAGUCUAGUUCUAAUUAAAUGGUUUUAUGACUCCAUAACUUGUCCUCAAGUUAUGGAGGACCAAGAGUCUCUUCAUUUAAUAAAAUAAAAAAAAAAAAAAAAAGGUGUAACCUUAAUUAAUUCCAUAAGUUAUAAAAUAAAGAAAAGUUAAUUCUUUUAUUAGUUUAAAGUCUUCCAUAACUUGUCCUCAAGUUAUGGAACUUGAAGAGUUUUUGGAUUAAAACUACUUUAAACACAUAAGUUAUGGAAUUAAUUAGUUUUGAAUAGUUUCAAAACUUGCCCUCAAGUUUUGGAAUUUGAAAAGUUUUCACUUAUGAAUACUUUAAUUCCAAGUUAGCCCUUAGAAUUUUAAAAGUUAAAAUUCAACCCUUAUACUUUAUAAUAUUAUAAGUUAAUAAUAUUUAUAUAUAUGUAUAAGAGUAAAGUCAGUCUUACCGUUAGUAGGCCUCAUUCACGAAGCCGGUCUAUAAGGGGGGUAUAAGGUUACUGCCUAUAAAAUGGCAGUUUAAUGGGUGUCCACUCUCACCCACCGCUUCCUUGACUGGUGGAGGGUCGUUAGCCGAACGGGUUUGACAGGACUAUAAUUCUCCCUUCAUUAAAAGUAUUAAUGAUAAAUACUAAGUAACUAAACUCUUAAUAAUACCCAAUCUUAGUUACUUAGGAAAAUGUGAAUAAGGUGCUAAUCCAUGAAAUUACACUUUGCACUUUGUUUAAGUCGGUUAGUGGAGCGUGUGUGGUUAACCGGCACACUAACUCGUAUUUAACAAGGUAGGCAAAGGGUAACUUAAUGUUUAUCAUAGUAUCGAUGGAGCGUGUGUGGUUAACCGGCACAUCGAUUGAGGGGUAAACACUUAAGGGUACCAAGUAAUUUGCAUGGUUACUUCACACCUUGUUUUGUGAUCCUCGGCAUCCCAGUCACAAAACCUGAAGGGCACACUCGAGAUUGAAACAUGCCAUUGAAAGUUCAAUGAAUCUCAAAGAUCUAGGAAUUUCAAAUCCAAUUAAAACCUAAUUAAUUAUUUCGUUUUUCAUGGUGGAAAUUGGUGAAUCGUCAUUCACCUACCUUCAAAUAUUCUAUAGCUUGGAUUACGGCAUCCCUCUUCCAAGUUAUAAAAUAGUUUGUUGGGUCCUAGCCUUAAUAUUUCAUAUUGGGUGUUAUAUUAAGGACUUUAAAUCAACUAUCUUGAAUAUCUCCCAAAAGAUGUCUAGUUCAGACAUCUAUGAUCUUCCCAAAUAUCUUGGAACUUCACUUCCUCCACCUCCUCCAAUUAUUCUCCCUAACCCACAAGUUCAAGGUCACUCAAGCCCUAUUGGCAAGGCAAGGUCUAGGUGUGAUCACAUCUUGGAGAUGAAGUCACAUACUGACAAGCCGGGAGAGUUGGGUGUCAAAGUCUUGAGAAAGUUAAUGCUUCAAUAACUUUCUACGUCACAUAGUGAGUUCCUUUGGGACUCCUAUGAAAUAGACUAUGACAAGACCCUUAAUGAUCUUAUCUAUUUGCUUGGUGUUGCUAAAUCAGAAAUGAUUUAGUGUACUAGUAAAGCAAAUUUGAUUAGGAGAUCAACUUCCCAAAACUUUAUGGACAUUGACAAUGGUGACAUAGGAAAUCCAGAAAUUCAUUAUCUUCCCAAUGGAAAGGGAUUGGCCAUAGUCAACUUCGUUGACCAAAUGGUAAAGAGAAAGGCUAAGUCUGAGAUAGUUCCAUGUACCAUUAUCAAAUGGUCCAUAUGUUUAUAUUGCCAAAGGAAGGGGCUUUGGUUACGAAGCUGCCAAACUUACCUAAGGAUGGUAAAGUCAAUAAGUUUGACUUUAUUUCAGGUAAAUUCCAUUGUCUAACUCUAUUAAGUUCCUACUUGGAGAUUCUUAUUACAUGAUGUGGCUGGGUCACAUGUUGAUGUUUUAAGAAUCAAAGAAAAGUAAAGAAACUUAAAGAAAGUAUAUGCUGAUUCUGAUCGCGAAGAUGGAUUUCAAUCGCAUGGUUCGGUGAUCAGAUUUUUGAGCAUGUGCUUAAGAGUUAUGAUAUUGCUUAGGAAUAGAUGACAACAAUUUUUCAUAUAAAUUUGCAUUGUAAGGAUUAGUUUUUCCGCAAAUUUUUUAAAUAAAAAGAAAAGUUUUUAAUUUUAUUUAUUUUAAAAUAUCCUUACAAUGGCAUUUGUAGAAAAAGGAAAAGAUGUUGCUUAUAUGAUUUCAUUGAUAGCAAUAUUGGAAAUAUGAAUUUGAUUCUUUCAUUUGUGGUAGUGUCUAAAUUUACCAAAUAAGGAAAGAUUCUCAUCCCCCAAGUUUCAGUUGGAUAGAAACUUGGAAUCAUGCAAGUUGUAUAGUAUGAUGAAUGAGAACUUUCGAGCAUUGGAAAAUUAAGACUAACUGCUUGUUCACAUGGAUGUGUGAGUGAAGAGAAGGACUAAGGGAUCAAGUACACUUUCUUGUGCACUUGUUAAAGUCCACCACAAAAGAUGGAUAAGACUAUUCGUCAUGAUUUACUAAGGUUUGGUAAAUAUGAUUAUACUUACGAGCUUAAGCAUAAUUCUGAAGCAUUUGAAAAUUUUCAAUGUAUGACCUUAUCAAAAUUCAUGUUUUAGGAUCAUCUUAAUGAUUUUGAGACCUUAUCAUGUUUUAAGAUCAUCUUAAUGAUUUUGAGACCUUAUCAAAAUUCAUCCUCUAAGUACAUUCUGAUAGCUAAGAAGAGGAGUUAUGAAUUGUUAGAGUUAUACUCUAAGAUUGUUAUACUCUAAGAUUGUAACUUGAGUGACAUAUCUUAAAGAAGGUUUAAAACACUUGUCAAAUGUAAGAGUAAAAGUUUUCUACUCUUCUACAUUUGAAAUUGGUAAGUUGUGAUGUUUUGGAUAAAACAAAGAUCAACUAAGGCCAAUUAUGUGAAGUGUUUGUCUUGAUUAGAAUCCACACUAUCUCUUGAAUAUUUGGCAAGAAAGUCUUAUAGGUCAAGGAGACAGUGGGAGUCAAAAAGAUCCUAAAAGGGUUUCAAGAAGUAAUCAAGAACAAAAACCUGAAGUUCUUCACUAGCACACGACUUGAGGUUUAUAACCUAUCAUGUUGACAUAUUUUGUGCCCAUUCCAGUUAAAGUUGGCUUUGCAUAUAAGUUCUUAGAGUUCUCAAUUGGUUGCACAACAACUUGGAAGCAAUGGCAGACCCUUGAGCUGCCAGGUGGCAAGAAAUUAAGAUUGAGUUCAGUCCAUAUGAGUUUGGAUUUGUGUUAGUCCCAAAACUGAGGAUCUAAUUUAGUAAACAAUGAAGUUAAUUGCAAUUAAAUUGAGAUUGAGAUGAAGAAGAAGUAGAAUCAAGGAUGCACACAUCUAUUGCCAUUAAAUGUCAAGUACAUCUUGAUAAAGUACAACUACUGCAGAGUUCUGACACAAAGCCAAAAAGUACAAACUGACAUAACUCAGUUGCUUUAAAUAGUACUCCUUCUACCCGCACAAGAGUGUGCAGCCGAACACAUGAGUGCGGCCGCACACACUGUGUGCGGCCGCACACACAUGUGUGGCAGCACACAUUAGAAGACAACACACAAUUAGGGAUGAAAGUGGGUCCAAACCCGGACCGGAUGGACCAGGACCCGGAAAACCCGGAACCGNGAACCGGAAACCGGACCGGUAUAUAGGAACCGGUUCCGGUUCGGUUCCGGGUAUGGUUCCGGGUAAAGUGGGUCUAGAACCGGAAAACCCGGAAACAUCAAAGUGGGUAGGUUGGAACCGGAUAAAGUGGGUUUAGAAUCGGAAAACCCGAAAAAACCGGAAUUUUUUGGUAAUUACUUAUUACUUAGUGGGUUGAACUUUGAAAAUUUUCAUAUUGAUAUCCCGACUUUGGGGGGCUGUAACUUAUUGAAUACAAAACCACAAUUAACAAAAUUAGAGUCUAAAAUCAUGUACAAAGUCUAAAAUACACUCUGAAAAACCCGCAUGUCAAUCCGACUUUAAACGAAUGAGAUAUGCUUGUGUUAGUAUUUUCACAUAAUACAAAGUACAAAAACAAAUAGCUGAAAAGUUGAAAAUUUUCAGUUUUGAUAUCCCUACUUCGGAGGAAUAUAAAUCAUUGAAUGUUUAACCAAAAAUGACAAAAUUAUAGUCUAAACUCAUGUACAAACUGUAAACUAGAAGUUGGAAAAAACCACAUGUCAAUCCGACUUCAAACGAAUUAGAUAUGCAUGUUUUAAAACUUUCACCGAAUACAAAAAAACUAAAAAACUAAAAACUUCCAGCUUUGAUAUCUCGACUUUUGAGGACUGUAAGUCAAUGAAUAUAAAACUAAAAAUGACAAAUUUAUAGUCUAGAAUCAUGUACAAACUCUAAACUACAUGUUGGAAAAAACCGUAUGUCAAUUGGAGUUGAAACGAAUAAGAUAUGCAUCUUGUAAACGUAUCACAAAAACCGGUUCCGGCCCUAAAAGUGGUUCCGGUUCCAAAAACCGGUUCCGGAUUUUAGACCCGGUUUACCAGGACCCAAGGACCCAAACCCGGAUUACCCGGAACCCGGAUAAAGCCAAUUUUUAAACCCGGAACCGGACCCGGUUCUAUAUAUUCCGGUUCUAAUGGGUCCNCGCACACAUUACAAGACAACACACAAUCACUGCAAAAAUGACACUAUCACCUAUACAAAAUGAUGCCUAGCUCAAACCACAAAAUUAUGUUCUUUCAGUCUCCCCCUUGGUUUGAGACUAGCAUAGUCUUAUCUUCACUCCUUUAGCUCCUCAGCAGGCUUCUCAAACAACCUCAGAUCUGAUCUCCCCAUCGAUCCCAUCUACAAUCUUCCAUUUCUGAUCGUAGCCACCAUUGCAGUGUAUUCUUUAGCAGCAACUUCCAUUACAUCUUUUCUGUAGAUUAUCUAGUGACGAGCCAGAGUCCAGAUAUCCCUUUCUCGAAAACGAAGAAGAUCUUUUGCAUUAAUCAGCCUCUAAUCAUGUUCUUGAUCCUUGAAUUUGAUAGCAGCAGUUGCAGUUUCGUCAUCGUAUGCCCAAAAUUCCAUAUUGUCAAGAUAUCCCUCCUGGAAGUGCUGAGGGAUUGGAUUUUCUUUUUGCUUUUUUGUAGCAAGCCAUAAAAUAAUCUUCAUAGGUUUGCCUGUUUCUGGGUCGAGAACAUCCUUAUCCUUUCGAUAAAGGGCUUUGGCAGUCUUCAUACUGGGAAAAUUUUCUUUGACCUGCCUAUCAAGGAACCUCUUAAAGUUAGAUGCACUUGGAUCUUGCGAGGGAUUGUGAAAGGUGACCCUAGAUAAUUCUUCUAGAUUAGUCUUAGUCCAAGAAUUGAAAUCAUGGGUGCUUUUGUAACACUCAGAUAUUCCUGAGUUUCGCUUUACCACCCAUAAAUUCGUUUCUGGAUCGAAAGCCCACAUACGGAUACCAGAUCUGUCACCAUACUCGUCGCCAAACUUUCUCUUUUUCAAAUCUAUUACAGUCAGAACAGGGCCUUUUGCUUUGAGAUUUUCAUUGGCAUUAUCAUGAAUAAAAGUCCUUUACGUUGAUUUGCAGUCACAAUUCUUUUGCCCUGUUUGAUUGUGAUUCUGGUUCUACUUCCUUCUGGUUCUUUUUCAAAUUUGUUGACAAUUGUAGUUGUUCUUGGAGCAGGUGGGUCAACAGGUAGAUCAUCAGUUGUAGGAGGUGAUUGAGCAGAAGGAGGAUCAACUACUCCAUGAGGCUGUUGGAAGAGGGCUUUGACUUUUUCACCAAAAGCAUCAUACAAUACGUUCUUGAGAUUGAAAUAAUUAGGUAGAACAGAUCCACGACUCGUUUGUAGAUCCUUGAUCUGUUUGGUCUUUUCUUCAUCCUUUGCCCUGAGCUCAAAGAUAUAUGCAGAAAGCUUAUCCAUUUGAAUUGACUUUUCAAUGAGCUGUUGGCGAAGAACUCCAAUCUCGAAGAUCAGACGAAGAGAAUUCGUCAUCAUCUGUCCGACCCUCGUUAAAUGAUAUUCCUUUCCUGCGUGAAGAGGUUGGACUAGAUUGAGCCAGAUGUCUUACUAAUCUGAUAGAAGCUUCAUCUAGAGAAGGUUGAGUUGGAGAAUAUUCUGGAAUAGAAGAGGAUCCACCAGUCUCGAACAUGGUACUUGGACCUUCAUUAGUCUGCUUUGGAGGAGAGUGAGCAGAGAUUGUAGUGAUUGUUGAAAUAACUUGAGGAGCACAUUUUACAGAAGGUAUCACCAGACUUUCAAGAGGUUGGCUUGUUCUUAUGGAUGUCUGAGAAGUCUGAGGUUCAGAUAAGUCAGAAAUAAUUGGAGCUGAUGUUGAGACAAGUGACACAGAGGGAGGAAUCUCUGAUGUCACAUCUCCUUGGUUUGUUGUGACCUCCAAGGGCUUUGAGUUAGAGAGUAGAAUUAUGGGAAAAUUUCCUUCAUCUCUAGUCUUGGUUGCUAGAGAAGCAACUUCAUUGAGUUUAUUUACACGGCUGCUGGGAAUAUCAAGAAAAGGAUCAAAAUAUUCAUCACCAAAAUCAAACUCUAUGAUUGUUGGAAUGUCGUCAUUGAUUCCUGUAAUGUCGAUUUCAUUCAAAAACUCCACAUCUUCAUAAAUAUAAUCGUCAUCAUCCCCUCGAGAAGAUUUUGAAUCAUUUUCUUUUUGAUAAUCAUGCUCAUCAGCUACAUAAGCUGUGGGAGAGUGACGAAUCUCCUCCACUUCAGGCUCGGAGGGAGAGUGAUGAAUAUCUUCAUUUUCCAUUUGCGUAGAUUGUUCUUCUGAUUCUUCUCUAUCAUCCUCUUUGAAAAUUCCAAAUUUUAUCAAUGGGAAUUUUCCUUCAAAUACAAAUUUCCCGCCCCUCUUUUGUUUCAUUAGCCCAAAAGCACUUGGACCAAUGGAUUUGAAAUCCAAGAUAUCAUUUCCUUUCUGCAGCUCGGGGUGAUUCACAUUAAGGAUGAUUUGCAAAAAUCUUGGAUACAUCCAGAAUUUGUCCCUUUUGCUCCCUUCAAGAUUUAAAAUCAUUUCAUUCAUUAUGAAUUUGGAGAAAUUAAAUUCAAAACCUGCUGCCAAUGCUGCAAUGGCACCAGUGUUGGCCAGAGAAAUCUCGUUUGCUCCUGAUCUUCGGCCGGAUAUGCAGCUCACAAACACAUGAGCUAAGUACUUCCAACAAGGAGGAAGCAGCUUCUUAGUUGUAGGAGGAAAAGUUACCUUGUAUCCCAUAUGCUCUAAUACUUCCUGAGUUUGUUGAAUAUCAAUCUCCAUGGAGUACUCAGGUGUGUCCUCAAUUUGGAGAGAUUCUCUAAUAAUGCAUUUUGUUACUUGAAUUUUCUUGUCUUCCAUUGUUGCUUCAACGAAUUUUUCACCCUGACCAUUCUUCUUUACAACAGCAUUCCUCCAGAAUUCCUUAAUCAAACUUUGGUAGAUAGCAGGACUUGUAGUUAGAGCAUGAACCAAACAGGAUUUCUUCAAGCCAUCCACAAUGAAUUUCAAGUCAUUGUGGACUGCAGGAGGGUCUUCGAGAAAAAUUGCAGAAUUAUGAGCUUUAUCAAAUUCCAUGUCUCCCAUGUUAAUCUGAAAGUUAACACACAAAUUUAUUAGGUCAAAACAAUAAAAAUGAAGCAGCACACGAGAUUUCACACAACCACACAUGAGAAUACACACAGCCGCACACGUGCAAGUGUGCGGCCGCAACCGCACAUCCACAAAAUCAUGCAGCCGCACACGCCUGUGUGCGGCCGCACACACCGUGUGUGGUUAUUUUCGAAGACAAACAAUUUUUUUAUGAAGAUCCAGCAGCAAACAAUCAAGAUUCAACAGCAAACAAUGAAAGUUUUCACCAAGUUCAUAGGAAUUUACCGAGUCAAAGCCUUGAAUUUUAAAUGAGAUUAAGAGAGAAACAGCACGCGUGUGCGGUUGAGGCAAAAGUAAAUGACGGUGAAAAAGGCUCACCGCACACACGCUAUAUAUAUGCACAUAAUUUACACUUUCUCCCCCUUGUCCUUUAAUUAUUUAUCCCAAAACCCCUUUCACUCACAAUUUUCUCAAAGAUGAAUUAUUUUGAGGAUUAAUAUAAUAUUAAUUUCAAAGUUCUAAAAAAAUUUAAAAUAAAAAAUAUAAAUUAAAAGAUAAAUAAUAAAAUGAGGUUGAAAAUACUAUUGACGACAAGAAUCAAUUUAAACCUAUAUAAAUUGUCUUAAUCUGUUGAGGUUUAGGGAUCAAAGUUUUUAGACAACCAUUAUCCGCUUGUCGGUACCUUUCAUAUUCACAUCUUUGUCUGGUUGAUUGUCGGUAUUGUUGUCCACUUAAACACAAAAAAUUGUGACAAAAUUAGGACAUACUAUAAGUGACAAGACAAUGUGAUCUUAAAUUCCUAGAUAUUAUAUCUGAUCCUAAGUUACUAGAUACUAUAUCUUAGGGACCAUUCAGUUGAAGACGACCAGGGAUAUUGUUGUCCACCUAAAUUGAGCAGCGAGAUCUAUAGACAAUCUGUAUGUGUUCAGUUUUAAGUGUACUAGAAUGUGUUUCCCGCUUCCUGAUAUGCCCCAGCCAUCAAGAACUUCCAGAGUACUCCUUACACCGGGUGAGCAGACAACCAUUCAGAGAGAGGAUAGAUUCAGAAUUCUAUUACUUAUUAUUUAUUUCUUCAGAGGGGUUGAGAAGUAGAAGGUUGCAUAUGCUGUGUACCAGGUCGGAUUAGAAGUCGCGCAGAGGAGACAACAUAUGGCUAACAGAUAAGAAGUCUUUCACAUAUAUAACCUGCAGAGAAAUAGAGUUGCAUAUGUUGUGUACCAGGUCGGAUUGGAAGUCACGCAAAGGAGACAACAUAUGACUAACAGACGGAAAGAAAGAAAAUGAUAUUCUAUAGACCUAAUUUAUCAGAAUUUACCAGUCGCCCCAUCCAAUCGGAAUUAAGGACAGAAUCCGCACAUUGAGGAAAAGUUAAACCACGGUUCCAAGUACGGGUUCAUGACGAGUAGAUUCCCAUAUAUAUCUCCCUGCCCAACCUAUCCAAGCGUCGUAUUGUCAGGCUAAAUGGAACUAUCUAUGUCAAGAUUUGUCAACUCAUUUGAUUUCCUAUGUUCAAUUCUGCCUAGUCAUGUCCAUUUAGAAUCUUUCGUGCCUACCGACACAUCAAACCAGAGCAUAGACCCUUCAACUUUGGGUACGUUACACAGACUCAGGUUGCCUGUUAUCACAUGAUCAUAUCACUUCCCAGAACAUCUCCCUCAAACAUAAUUUCUAAUUUUUAAUGUUUUUUUUGGAUUUUCUAUUUUUAAUGUUUUUGGAUUUUCUAUUUUUUAAUGUUUUUGGAUUUUUUUAAUGUUUUGGAUUUUCUAUUUUUCUCCCCCUAAAUUUGUGCAUAAAAAAAUAAAAUAAAAUGCGCAAAUUUAUACUAAAAAUUAAUCCUCAAAACGAAUCAUUUUUAGAAAAUUAACCAGCACAUCGAAUCGAGCUUUGUUAAAAGGCUUGGUGAACAGAUCUGCUACAUUAUUAUCAGAGCUGACCUGUUCUAGCCGAAUGAGCAAACGCUCAUAACAUUCUCGAAUAAAAUGAAUCUUGAUGUCGAUGUGCUUGGUUUUUGAGUGCUGGACCGGGUUUUUAGCAAUUUGGAUCGCAGCCUCAUUAUCACAAAAAAUAGGGGUUUCUUGAAAAUUCAAACCGUAGUCCAACAACUGAUGUUGGAUCCAAAUGACUUGAGAACAAUAAGCAGAUGCAACAACAUAUUCCGCUUCUGCUAUUGAGGUUGAGACUGUGUGCUGCUUCUUGCACUGCCAUGACACCAGUCUAUCUCCUAGAAAUUGACAUCCUCUGGAUGUCGAUUUUCUAUCAAGCUCACUCCCGCCAUAAUUGCUAUCUGCAAAAGCAUAAAGAUCAAAUUCGGGAUUUUUCGGAUACCAAAGACCCAGUUUUGGGCAACCUUUGAGAUACCGAAAAAUCCUUUUAACAACAAUUAAAUGAGAGAGUUUAGGAUUAGCCUGGUAGCGAGCACAUUGACAAACCACAAACAUGACGUCUGGGCGACUAGCAGUAAGAUACAUGAGUGAUCCGAUCAUUGAUCGAUAAUGAGUUUGAUCUAUGGAUUCACCCUCAAGAUCAGGAGUCAGAAGAGGUCGUUCCACCAUGGGUGAAAGAGCAGGUUUUGCGUCUUGAAAUCCGAACUUCUCCAGUACAUCUUCCACAUAUUUUCCUUGAUGAAUAAGGAUUCCGGUUGAAGAUUGUUUGACCUGAAGCCCCAAAAACGUGGUCAUUUCCCCAACUGAACUCAUCUCAAAGCGCUUCUUCAUCACCGCUUCAAACUCCUUGCAAAGUUGUUGGCUUGUCGACCCGAAAAUGAUGUCGUCCACAUAAAUUUGAAUGAGAAUUUGAUCUGGACCGACAUGCUUGAGAAAUAAGGUUUGAUCAAUGGUGCCUCGGGAAUAGCCGUGAUUGAGCAAAUGCUGAGUAAGAGUAGCAUACCAAGCUCGAGGAGCUUGAUGCAAUCCAUACAAAGCUUUGUCUAACUUGUAAACAUGGUUUGGAAGAGAUGAGUUAACAAAACAAGGUGGUUGGUCAACGUAAAUCUCCUCCUUGACCUUGUCGUACAAGAAAGUCGUCUUGACGUCCAUUUGGUAUACAGUAAAGUUCAUGUAGAAAACUUUGAUACCAAUUGUUAGUCCCAAAACUGAGGAUCCAAUUUAGUAAACAAUGAAGUUAAUUGCAAUUAAAUUGAGAUUGAGAUGAAGAAGAAGUAGAAUCAAGCAUGCACACAUAUAUUGCCAUUAAAUGUCAAGUAUAUCUUGAUAAAGUACAACUACUGCAGAGUUCUAACACAAAGCCAAAAAGUACAAACUAACACAACUCAAUUGCUUUAAAUAGUAUCCUUCUACCAGCACAAGAGUGUGCAGCCGAACACAUGAGUGCGGCCGCACACACUAUGUGCAGCCGCAAACACAUGUGUGGCAGCACACAUUACAAGACAACACACAAUCACUGCAAAAAUGACACUAUCACCUAUACAAAAUGAUGCCUAGCUCAAACCACAAAAUUAUGUUCUUUCAGUCUCCCCCUUAACUAUUGAUAUAUCUGCACUUGAAGUAAAAACGUUAGUAUGCAAAGUCUCAUAACUAGACUGUAUUUCCUGCUCAGAAGCUGACUUUCCAUACAUCAUGCAAGGUUCUUUGUCAAUUUCUUCUUGAGACAGGGGAAUAGCAGUAUAAUUGUGAUUGAAAGGAGGAGGGACACUCUCAAAACAUAAUCCAACUUUUAUUUGAUUACCAUGAAUGAUAUCUCUCCAGUGCGAUUGACCUUCGAUUAAUUUUGCAAUCUUUUCACUUGACCCAUCGUAUUUUUUGAAAUUAAAUUCAGCUUUUUCAAAACAAUUUUUCAGUGUGUCAAGUUCCACGGUUAUAGAAGCAAGUUUUCUUUUGAGAUGAUCAUAGUUCUCGCAUUUGUUGCUGUAAUCCUCUUGCAAUUUUUUAAAGUCUUUUGUUUUAUUUUCUAAUUGAGUUUUUAAGGCUUUUGAUUUUUUCUAAGAGUAUAUCCCUCAUAUUUAAAGUCCUCGUUCUCUCUUUUGAUUAACUCAAUUUGAUCUCUCAAAAACAUAACGGUUUUAAUACAAGAUUGAGAACAACCGAAUUCACAAACCUCAGAUUUGACUGAUUCAGGAGUGGUCUGUACCAUGAAUGCAAACUGCAAAUUCAUCAUCUCCUCCUCUGGAUCUGCUUCUAUUUCUUCACUUGCAUCCUUGACUUGAGCAAGAUUUGCCUUUUCAGGUCCCGAAAUGUUUAGGGCCUGAACUUGAUCUUCCCAGUUAAACGAUUGAGCUACCAUUGCCAUCUUUGCAGAUUGAUUGUUUGAAGAUGAUCCUCUGUUGUUGUUGUGAACAUAAGUUACUGGCACCAUGGUUCUUUCAGAGUUUGCUCGCUGAUCAGGUUUUGGACAUUCCCUUGAAAAGUGUCCUGGUUCGUGACAAUUAUAACAACGUAACUUUCCUUUGCUAAAACCCAUCUUUUUAUCUGAAUUUACACUCUAGUUGUUUUUCCAGUCUUUUUUGAGAAUUGUUUAGCCCUGAAUAUUGCCAUUGCCAUUUGCCAAGUAAUAUCCAUCUCUUCUACAUCUUCAAGAUGGAUUUGAUCAAGAUUAGUGAAUGAGAGUUGUGGAGAAAGGUCUCCAGCAACAAAAGCAUUAUAGCAAUUCACCAACCCAGUAGCUAGAGCCAUAUUUUCCUCCUUUUCCUUUGUAAACGAACUUUGGGAACCAAUUUCAUGAGUUUGAACUGAAACACUUGUGGAAGAACUAACACAAGAACCAACUUGAGAUAUGUUUUGAGGGAUUUGAGUUUGUUGCGUUUUAGGUAUGUUGUAUGGUAUGUUUUGACGAGCUGCAAAAGAUUGAACUUGUGGAACCUGGAUUUGAGUAUUUUGAUGGGUGGUGAAACUUGAGAAGGCAGUGUUGUUGUUUUGAAUUCCAAGAUUGGCUGAAGAGUACGAAUUGACAUGGUUGAUUUCUCUUUGUUUAUCAUCAAGAUCGCAAGCUUUGAUGAUUGCCAUUGUUUCAGACAAGCUUAAACGGUUCAGGUCUUUUGUCUUUUUAAUCACCGAGACAUUCAUGUCCCAUGAUUUUGGAAGAGAAUUUAGUAAUUUCUUGUUGAUUUCAGACCUAGUAACCAUCACACCUGCGAAGCUCAUUUUAGUGGUUAGUGUGAUAAAUCUUUGCAAUUGAUUUUCCAACGUGUCUCCCAAUACAUAAUUGAACAUGUUGAAUUUCUGUCGGAGCAUGUCUUGUCGACUUUGCUUCAUGUCUUCAUUUCCUUCAUAGACUUCUAUGAGUGCUUCCCACAAUGCUUUUGUUGAUGUAUAUUCACGAAACCCUUGUGCAAUCUUAGGAGACAACGCCAUAGUGAGUGUGGCAAGUGCCUUUUCUUAUUCUUCAACUCUUUCAAAGUCAUCAUCAGUGUAAUUUUCAAUCUGUUUGUCAAUUACCGUGCCAUCUUCUAGAGUAGAAGUAAUCCUAAUUGGUCCUCUUAAAAUGCUUCUCCAAAUUUUGAAAUCCUUCAUUUUGAUGUAUUUUUCAAUUCGGUAUUUCCAUUCAGGAAAUCCUUCACCUGAUAGCAAUCUAGGAAUACGAGUAGUGGUUCCUAUAAUUGCAUCCAAAUCUUGAUGAGCAAUCAUACUUUGACAUUCCAUUUGAGCAAUCUUCAACCGCACACUAACACUCAAGCGCACACUAACACUCAACCGCACACUAACACUCAACCGCAAACAAAUCUUAACUGCACACACUUUCCAACCGUACACGUGUAACCGCAUACAAUUUAACAACAAACACUUCACUUGUAACCGUACACACUUCAGCAUCAAACACCAACCGCACAAACUUUAACAACAAACACCAACCGCACACAAAAAAUAUCAACAACACAAACUUCAACAGCAAACACCAACCGCCCACAGCAAAUAUCAAUCACACACAAGGUAACCGCACACUUCUUCAAAGGAUACGCUCCACCGCACACACUAUUGGCAACAAACCUUCAACAGUUGGCAGCAAACCUUCAACAGUUGGCAGCAAACCUUCAACAUUUCUUCGAUAAAAAUUCUUAAAAAAUAGUGAUUUUUUUUUGCCCUCUCACACUAAAAAAUAACUUCAAUUGAUACCAAAUUGGCUUUGAUACCAAUUGUUAGUCCCAAUACUGAGGAUCCAAUUUAGUAAACAGCGAUGUUAAUUGCAUAUAAAUUGAGAUUGAGAUGAAGAAGAAGUAGAAUCAAGCAUGCACACAUCUAUUGCCAUUAAAUUUCAAGUACAUCUUGAUAAAGUACAACUACUGCAGAGUUUUGACACAAAGCCAAAAAGUACAAUCACUGCAAAAACGACACUAUCACCGAUACAAAAUGAUGGUUAGCUCAAACCACAAAAUUAUGUUCUUUCAAUUUGCCAUUAUCCUUGUCUUGUGACUAUGGUUUUGAAAAUUCACAUGGAUAAGAACACAUACCCCAGUAAAUCUAAGUGUCAUAAGGUUUCUCUCCGAUUCAUGAAAAUGAUGGUGAGGAAACACUUUCACUAAGCAGAUUUUAGCUAGAUAGCAAUUGUAAUAUUUGCAUUCUCAAAGCCGUUAGUAGAGCAUGCGUGGUUUACCGGCACACUAACCUAGACUUUUGAGAAGUGGCAAAAAGGUCUAACCAUUAUGAUUAGGACAUCCCUCUUCAUAAUUGUUUAGACACACAAGUGUGCUAUCUAAGGGAAGGUGUAUGAUUUUGAUAAUGCUUAAUCAAAAAACAAUCUAGUAUCAGAAAUCUGAACUUUGGUAAGAAAGUCAGUUGAUUUCUGAGUACAUGUCAAAGCUAGUGGGAGCAUAAGUGUUAUGCUAAUAAUCAUCAUGUUAGUGGGAGCAUGAUAAUUAUGAUAAAGGUUGCAAGUUAGCAAUGUUAAUUAUAGAAAACAAAAGGUUUCAAUUGGGAAAAAGUUGUUUUGCUAUAAUUAAGGGAGAGGAAAUUAUACUUCAUCUCAAAUCUAUAAGCUUAGAUCGUGAGGUUUUAAUCAUUUAGUCAAGGAUAUAUAUGAAUUUCAUGUUGGAAUGGCUCAACAUAAGGAAAUUUUGUAUAUGGGUCCAUUAUUUGCGUUCUAAAAUUCGAUUAUGAUUACGACAUCCCUUUUCAUAAUCUGAAUUAUGAGAACUUGGCAAAUAGAAAUGGAAGUGUUAUAGCAAAUGACUGGUUUAGUCUUUAUGUGAGACAUCAUGAAUCGUGUCCCUUAUGCUUCGGAUAUAGGAUCGAUUACAUGUGCUAUAUUCAUCCUUUCUAAAAUUUUCCAAAUGCCUGGGGCAUUAAGUAGGGAAAAGGUCUAGAAUUGGCUAUGAUUAAAAG
RNAcentral lists this long non-coding RNA (18319 nucleotides) under Lactuca sativa (garden lettuce). RNAcentral's name for it is "long non-coding RNA (LSAT_LNC007409)". Lineage: Eukaryota; Viridiplantae; Streptophyta; Magnoliopsida; Asterales; Asteraceae. The record is from RNAcentral.